AAAUUGGGUUAUUGGAUGAAAGAGGUGGGGUUUGAACUGGACCUUGUCAAUGGAGAUGAUUUGUUAGUGGUCAUCCUAACCGGAUGAUUGCCUAAACAAACACACAGAGCUGAAUGACUAUGCAUUUGUCAAAUUCUAACCUCAGAGGCUGCCUACCUACAUCAUCUGUGGGGGUGGUGGCGGUGGUAGUGAUGGUAGUGGCACAUAUUAAAGCUACAAAACAGUGGACUAGAAGGCCAAGCACAUUUCCAGGGAUGGAGGGGAGGCAAGGAAAUGGACAAAUAUGCCAUAGGCCAGAAACCAGAAACACGCUUGUUAGGAAGAAGCUCUGUACAAGGACAUUCAGCCCUUCUAUCAGCAGACAGGUUGGCAGGAAAGAACAUGUGGAGUGGAGAGAAAGUUCCAGGUGUUACCUUAUAUGGUCUGUGGAGAUCAUAUCAUAGAAACAAAGGAAAAAUGAAGAAAAAUUAGAUUUUACACUUACUACUGACAGACUUUAUUUUGGGGGGCUCAAAAAUCACUGCAGAUGGUGGCUAUAGCCAUGAAAUUAAAAGAUGCUUGCUCCUUGGAAGAAAAGUUAUGACCAACCUAGACAGCAUAUUAAAAAGCAGAGACAUUACUUUGCUAACCAAGUUUCGUCUAGUCAAAGCUAUGGUUUUUCCUGUAGUCAUGUAUGGAUAUGAGAGUUGGACUAUAAAGAAAGCUGAGCACCGAAGAAUUGAUGCUUUUGAACUGUGGUGUUGGAGAAGACUCUUGAGAGUCUCUUGGAGAGCAAGGAGAUCCAACCAGUCCAUCCUACAGGAAAUCAGUCCUGAAUAUUCAUUGGAAGGACUGAUGCGGAAGCUGAAACUCCAAUACUUUGGCCACCUGAUGUGAAGAACUGAUUCAUUUGAAAAGACCCUGAUGCUGGGAAAGAUUGAAGGUAAGAGGAGAAGGGGGAUGACAGAGGAUGAGAUAGCUGGAUGGCAUCACCGACUCAACAAACAUGAGUCUGAGUAAAGUCCGGGAGUUGGUGAUGGACAGGGAGGCCCGGCAUGCUGCAGUCCAUAGGGUUGCAAAGAGUCAGAUGUGACUGAGCGACUGAACUGAACUGAGCUGUACAUUAGGAAGAAAUAAGGGAUCAAACCGCA
RNAcentral lists this long non-coding RNA (1130 nucleotides) under Bos indicus x Bos taurus (hybrid cattle). Its description in RNAcentral is "lncRNA (ENSBIXG00000001835.1)". The record is from RNAcentral. Lineage: Eukaryota; Metazoa; Chordata; Mammalia; Artiodactyla; Bovidae.